This 364-nucleotide long non-coding RNA is filed under the name Elaeis guineensis (African oil palm). Its description in RNAcentral is "long non-coding RNA (EGUI_LNC043097)". Lineage: Eukaryota; Viridiplantae; Streptophyta; Magnoliopsida; Arecales; Arecaceae. The record is from RNAcentral.
CAGAAGAAAGCACAUAUCAUCAAUCUAAAAUUUUAAAAAAUUUAUGAGAUCAGAUCUCAUUACCUUGGCAUGGGUAGAUAUUCAUUAUUUUUGAUGAUCUCGAAUUCGUAGAAGAUUGAGCCGCACACGCAUCCGACCUCUACAGAUAUGCAUCGGGAUCUAUCUUGAACUUCUUUUUUCUCGUAGAAGAUUCUUCUUCUUAAGAAGAAUUUUGACUUUGAAGACUUUGAUCAACUCCUUUGACCUUAACUGUGAGAUCAACUCCUUGAUUUACAGUCUUCUUCUUCAUCUCCUUGAUCCUUGAUCUCUAAGUCACCAAUACUUCUUUUUGGCAUAUGGAAGAGAGAGCACCCAACUUUUGAGC